This 425-nucleotide ribosomal RNA is filed under the name uncultured bacterium. RNAcentral's name for it is "partial 16S ribosomal RNA". It matches the Rfam family "Bacterial small subunit ribosomal RNA", at positions 354 to 796 of the family's 1533-position model. The record is from RNAcentral.
GUGGGGAAUAUUGCACAAUGGGCGAAAGCCUGAUGCAGCGACGCCGCGUGAGCGAAGAAGUAUUUCGGUAUGUAAAGCUCUAUCAGCAGGGAAGAUAAUGACGGUACCUGACUAAGAAGCACCGGCUAAAUACGUGCCAGCAGCCGCGGUAAUACGUAUGGUGCAAGCGUUAUCCGGAUUUACUGGGUGUAAAGGGAGCGCAGGCGGUGCGGCAAGUCUGAUGUGAAAGCCCGGGGCUCAACCCCGGUACUGCAUUGGAAACUGUCGUACUAGAGUGUCGGAGGGGUAAGCGGAAUUCCUAGUGUAGCGGUGAAAUGCGUAGAUAUUAGGAGGAACACCAGUGGCGAAGGCGGCUUACUGGACGGUAACUGACGUUGAGGCUCGAAAGCGUGGGGAGCAAACAGGAUUAGAAACCCGUGUAGUCC